Non-coding RNA from Pantherophis guttatus, 899 nucleotides. The record is from RefSeq and is a predicted model, not a curated record. Lineage: Eukaryota; Metazoa; Chordata; Lepidosauria; Squamata; Colubridae.
ACUCAGAGAGACUCAAGCUGGAGCAGUCCAGCUGAGCUUCACAUCAUUUCAACAAAAAGGAAGUAUCCAAGAAGACUGGAGUUUUCUGUCUUCUCACCAAUAUUGUCUUGGAUAUUCCCAAUAACCCAAAUCCGGAAAGGUUACAGCAACAGGAAGAACUGGUGAUAAUACCUGGAGUGAGCUGGGGAAACUAUCAGAUCUGCCGCCUAUCUCAAAAUAUUCUGGAAUCCAGACGGCUUCUUCGGGAUCCAUUUUACUCUUCAAGGUCCGUCAUGCCUUCUUGAAGACUGUGAUUCUGCUUCAACAUCCAACCUGAUAGCUUGGAUUCUGCAGUGCCACUGCAGGAUACUGUUGAAUGAUGGCAGAACGUGGCGCCGACAUGUGGACCAACUGAGGGUACGCCAAACAACACGCCCGAUGGUCCAGGACAGGGAAAUCUUCUAUGAGGAGCCUAUUCCCCUGCCAGUUCCAGCUGCCGACCAGCCACCCUCCGCGCCAGAAAAUCAAAAGGCAUCUCGGGACUUACCGCCUGUGGCCACACCUUCCACCAACCAGGGGGAGCUAUCCGCAGCGUCACCUCCUGGAGCAGAACCUGCCUCUUCUCCGACCGCACCUGCACUGAGACAAUCGACACGAGUGCGUAAACGCCCGGAAUAUCUAAAAGACUACGUAUGUUCCAUCCAGGGGUGAAGGAGUGUUGUGAUUUGCCGAGGCUUGACAACAAGAACGCUGACUAGGGAUUGGCUAGGGGGAGUGGCUAAAAACAAGCGGGAGUUCUGACUGUUCUGAUUGGGUAGUUAGCUGACAGCUCGGAGUAUAAAAGAGCUGUCAUCUGCAGACAAGCAGUUCUGUUACGUUACGGUUGCUGUUGGUUCCUGUUAAUAAAUAACGUUAACUCA